Long non-coding RNA from Dermochelys coriacea (leatherback sea turtle), 756 nucleotides. RefSeq lists it as uncharacterized. The transcript is spliced from 3 exons. The record is from RefSeq and is a predicted model, not a curated record. NCBI's taxonomy places the organism in Eukaryota, Metazoa, Chordata, Testudines, Dermochelyidae.
UGGUGUGUCUACUCCAGCACAGGGGAGAGCAAAGGAUUAAUUGGACUCUGCAAGCUCAGUUAGCCCACUUUGCUGCACCUGGAGGGUGUGUCUUGUUAUUAGGUCUAGCUGGGGAGGAUUUGGGCCUUCUUGAAAGAAGGAAAUCAAAAGCUGUAGGGUAGGCUGAGAAGAUAGACCUAGGAGAGAGGAGAGCUAGAUGUCUACGCAGGCCUGAGAGAAAUGAUUGUGCCAGAUAGAGGAUGACUGGAGGAAAGCAAAGAUACUUACAAGCCACAGCUGAUUUAUUACUGAUUGGUGUUUCUGAGGGAAAACAAAUCCAUUUACCUACCAAAUCUCAACAUAUGGUUACAGGAACUGUAAGUGACGGAGCAGUGUGGACCAGCCAAGCCGAGAGUUUAUAGCAACUCAUGGGUUACCUGCCUAGCUGAAGAUGCUGAUGUGAGGAUGAUCGUGCUGGCUCCUGAAUAACACCAAGUCCCACCGGCUGACCGUACUGUUGGAACUAAGUCAUUGCAGCUGUUAGCUCUAAACAUCCAAUACAACUAUAGGCGAGUGAGUUGGAUUCCAUUGUGCUCACUGCAUCCGCAUCCAAAUUGUGAAUUCUGAACUGCCUACAGCAGUGGUUCCUAAACUUUUCGGCAUCACACCCCCUUUUUAAUUUUCAAGAAACCCUCACAGCCCCACCUCUCCUUUACCAUCAUCCAACCCCCCUGUUCCUUGUCCCCUGACUGCCCACUCCCAGGACCCCUCCCCUUA